RNAcentral lists this transfer RNA (73 nucleotides) under Stegodyphus mimosarum. It matches the Rfam family "tRNA". From Rfam's summary of the family: Transfer RNA (tRNA) molecules are approximately 80 nucleotides in length. Their secondary structure includes four short double-helical elements and three loops (D, anti-codon, and T loops). The record is from Rfam by way of RNAcentral. Lineage: Eukaryota; Metazoa; Arthropoda; Arachnida; Araneae; Eresidae.
GCCUUCGUGGUUUAGUGGUGAGCACGCUCGAGGCAUAUUCAAGAGAUCCGUGGUUCGAAUCCCGGCGAAGGCA